UGGGACCUAGGGUUGGCUGCAGCCAGGGUUUCAGGGGUGUGUUGUGACUCCACUGUGCCAGGUGGCCCAGAUUUGGAGGUCAAAGACUGCAGUCCAAAGUCAAGUUCAAGGAGCCAGGAAGAGCAACAAGAGAAAGGACUGGCAAAAAAGAACUUGCAGAAGUGAGAAUACAGGUCAGGAGUCCCUGAAGAGUCCCAGAAGCAACAGAACGGCUUUGGAGCCAAGCUGGGCCAUGGAUCACACAGCUGAGGAGACUGACACUCAGAUGGCCCUGAAUGAGAGCUCCAGACCCUGCAGCUGGCCAUGCAGAGAUUCAGCAGAGAGCCCUGCACCAGCAAGAAGGCCUUCACCAGAUGCUGCUUCUCAGCCUUGAACUUUCCAGCCUUCAGAACCAUGAGCCAAAUAAACCUCUUUUUCCUA
RNAcentral lists this long non-coding RNA (420 nucleotides) under Heterocephalus glaber (naked mole-rat). RNAcentral describes it as "lncRNA (ENSHGLG00100036621.1)". The record is from RNAcentral. Lineage: Eukaryota; Metazoa; Chordata; Mammalia; Rodentia; Bathyergidae.